UGGCUCAGAGGUAAAGAGCACUGGUUGCUCUUCCAGAGGACCUGGGUUCAACUCCCAG
RNAcentral lists this transfer RNA (58 nucleotides) under Neotoma lepida (desert woodrat). Lineage: Eukaryota; Metazoa; Chordata; Mammalia; Rodentia; Cricetidae. The record is from Rfam by way of RNAcentral.